RNAcentral lists this microRNA (24 nucleotides) under Drosophila mojavensis. RNAcentral's name for it is "Dmo-Mir-2-P2b2_5p* (star (passenger))". Lineage: Eukaryota; Metazoa; Arthropoda; Insecta; Diptera; Drosophilidae. The record is from RNAcentral.
GCGUCAAAUUGACUGUGAGCUAUG